Non-coding RNA from Pimephales promelas (fathead minnow), 290 nucleotides. NCBI's taxonomy places the organism in Eukaryota, Metazoa, Chordata, Actinopteri, Cypriniformes, Leuciscidae. The record is from RefSeq and is a predicted model, not a curated record.
UGACUGAUAAUGAAUGAGCUUAGAAUGGGAGAUCUUCUUUGGAGCUUAAGUGCGUGGGCGACGGAUGGAGCGAAAAAGCCACCCGGAACAAAAACAAAGGUGACCUUGCUGUGCCGUUUCAGACCGUAAUGGGUCGCUCUGUUUCGUUUGUGAGGUCAUAUCAGCAGCACCUGCAAGGACAAAAGAUUCUUCAUUUGUGUUCCGAAGAUACAUGAAACUCAUACGGGUUUGAAGCAACAUGAGGGUGAACGUCACUACUGACCAGUAGGUGCAUCUUUACCCACAUUAAG